GGGGGAACCCUGAUGCACCGAUGCCGCGUGAGUGAAGAAGGCCCUUGGGUUGUAAAACUCUUUCGUCGGGGAAGAAAAUGACUGUACCCGAAUAAGAAGGUCCGGCUAACUUCGUGCCAGCAGCCGCGGUAAUACGAAGGGACCUAGCGUAGUUCGGAAUUACUGGGCUUAAAGAGCUCGUAGGUGGUUAAAAUAGUUGAUGGUGAAAUCCCAAGGCUCAACCUUGGAACUGCCAUCAAAACUUUUUAGCUAGAGUGUGAUAGAGGUAAGUGGAAUUUCUAGUGUAGAGGUGAAAUUCGUAGAUAUUAGAAAGAACACCAAAUGCGAAGGCAACUUACUGGGUCACUACUGACACUGAGGAGCGAAAGCAUGGGUAGCGAAGAGGAUUAGAUACCCUCGUAGUCCAUGCCGUAAACGAUGUGUGCUAGACGUUGGAAAUAUAUUUUUCAGUGUCGCAGCGAAAGCAUUAAGCACACCGCCUGGGGAGUACGACCGCAAGGUUAAAACUCAAAUGAAUUGACGGGGACCCGCACAAGCAGUGGAGCAUGUGGUUUAAUUCGAAGAUACGCGCAGAACCUUACCAACACUUGACAUGUUCGUCGCGAGACUAAGAGAUUAGUCUUUUCAGUUCGGCUGGACGAAACACAGGUGCUGCAUGGCUGUCGUCAACUCGUGUCGUGAGAUGUUGGGUUAAGUCCCGCAACGAGGGCAACCCCUACUUUUAGUUGCCACCAUUUAGUUGGGCACUUUAAAAGAACUGCCAGUGAUAA
RNAcentral lists this ribosomal RNA (770 nucleotides) under uncultured Alphaproteobacteria bacterium. Its description in RNAcentral is "bacterial SSU rRNA". It matches the Rfam family "Bacterial small subunit ribosomal RNA", at positions 374 to 1161 of the family's 1533-position model. The record is from RNAcentral. Lineage: Bacteria; Pseudomonadati; Pseudomonadota; Alphaproteobacteria.